Molecule: non-coding RNA, 198 nt
Organism: Coffea arabica (coffee)
Lineage: Eukaryota; Viridiplantae; Streptophyta; Magnoliopsida; Gentianales; Rubiaceae
Source: RefSeq, a predicted model, not a curated record
AGUUGAUUGCUCAAUUUGAAGCAAGAAUGAGGGCAUCCACAUGUGACUUGGCAUCACUCCAAAGAAGAGAAAUGAAUGCAGCAAAACAAUCUCAAAUUUCGGACUCAUUAGAGGUUGGUGAUAGAAUGAACAGGGAAGUUGGAACAAAUGAUGCUGAAAUAAACAAGUGUGAAAUGAAUAAAAAAGUUUCUUCAAUUG